AUUUGCAACUGUACAUUUAGGAUGCAUUGAGCUGUUUUAAAGUAGCCUGGCAUGAGAACAUGACCAUUACAAACUGUAUACUUAAAAACAAAUGCAGAAACAGUAAAACAUCGUUUUUGAGCUUUUCAGGCCAUAAGAAAACUGGUUUAAACCACAGCAUUUGCAACUGUGCUUUUAUGGUGUAUUGAGCUGUUUUAAAGUUGCCUGGCAUCAAAAGAUGUCCAGUAGAGGCUGUUCUGAUGGAAACCAAUGCAGAAACAGUAAAACAUUGUAUUUGAGCUGUUCAGGUCAUAAGAACACUAGUUUAAAACACGGCAUAUGCAACUGGACAUUUAGGAUGCAUUGAGCUGUUUUAAAGUAGCCUGGCAUGAGAACUUGACCAUUACAAACUGUAUACUUAAAAACCAUUGCAGAAGCACUGAAACAUCGUUUUUGAGCUUUACAGGUCAUAUGAACACUAGUUUAAACCACGGCAUAUGCAACUGUACAUUUAGGAUGCAUUGAGCUGUUUUAAAGUAGCCUGGCAUUAGAACAUGACCAUUACAAACUGUAUACUUAAAAACCAAUGCAGAAACACUAAAACAUCGUUUUUUAAGCUUUUCAGGCCAUAAGAAAACUGGUUUAAACCACGGCAUUUGCAACUGUGCUUUUAUGGUGUAUUGAGCUGUUUUAAAGUUGCCUGGCAUCAAAAGAUGUCCAGUAGAGGCUGUUCUGAUGGAAACCAAUGCAGAAACAGUAAAACAUUUGCAACUGUGCUUUUAUGGUGUAUUGAGCUGUUUUAAAGUUGCCUGGCAUCAAAAGAUGUCCAGUAGAGGCUGUUCUGAUGGAAACCAAUGCAGAAACAGUAAAACAUUGUAUUUGAGCUGUUCAGGUCAUAAGAACACUAGUUUAAAACACGGCAUAUGCAACUGUACAUUUAGGAUGCAUUGAGCUGUUUUAAAGUAGCCUGGCAUGAGAACAUAACCAUUACAAACUGUAUACUUAAAAACCAAUGCAGAAGCACUAAAACAUUGUUUUUGAGCUUUACAGGUCAUAAGAACACUAGUUUAAACCACGGCAUAUGCAACUGUACAUUUAGGAUGCAUUGAGCUGUUUUAAAGUAGCCUGGCAUGAGAACAUGACCAUUACAAACUGUAUACUUAAAAACCAAUGCAGAAACAGUAAAACAUUGUAUUUGAGCUGUUCAGGUCAUAAGAACACUAGUUUAAACCACGGCAUAUGCAACUGUACAUUUAGGAUGCAUUGAGCUGUUUUAAAGUAGCCUGGCAUGAGAACAUGACCAUUACAAACUGUAUACUUAAAAACCAUUGCAGAAGCACUAAAACAUCGUUUUUGAGCUUUACAGGUCAUAUGAACACUAGUUUAAACCACGGCAUAUGCAACUGUGCUUUUAUGGUGUAUUGAGCUGUUUUAAAGUUGCCUGGCAUCAAAAGAUGUCCAGUAGAGGCUGUUCUGAUGGAAACCAAUGCAGAAACAGUAAAACAUUGUAUUUGAGCUGUUCAGGUCAUAAGAACACUAGUUUAAAACACGGCAU
Molecule: long non-coding RNA, 1534 nt
Filed under: Betta splendens (Siamese fighting fish)
Lineage: Eukaryota; Metazoa; Chordata; Actinopteri; Anabantiformes; Osphronemidae
Description: lncRNA (ENSBSLG00000012609.1)
Source: RNAcentral